UUCGACUGGGGGAGCAUGUAAAUGCUGAGAGAGCAAUCGACCCUUUGAACCUGAUACGGUUAACACCGGCGUAGGGAAGUGGAGU
Molecule: non-coding RNA, 85 nt
Filed under: Candidatus Salinicoccus stercoripullorum
Lineage: Bacteria; Bacillati; Bacillota; Bacilli; Caryophanales; Staphylococcaceae
Description: TPP riboswitch (THI element)
Rfam family: TPP riboswitch aptamer (THI element)
About the family: Vitamin B(1) in its active form thiamin pyrophosphate (TPP) is an essential coenzyme that is synthesised by coupling of pyrimidine and thiazole moieties in bacteria. The previously detected thiamin-regulatory element, thi box was extended, resulting in a new, highly conserved RNA secondary structure, the THI element, which is widely distributed in eubacteria and also occurs in some archaea. Analysis of operon structures identified a large number of new candidate thiamin-regulated genes, mostly transporters, in various prokaryotic organisms.
Source: RNAcentral